UACGUAGGGGGCAAGCGUUGUCCGGAUUUAUUGGGCGUAAAGAGCGUGUAGGCGGUUUGGUAGGUCCGCUGUGAAAACUCGAGGCUCAACCUCGAGACGCCGGUGGAAACCAUCAGACUAGAGUCCGGAAGAGGAGAGUGGAAUUCCUGGUGUAGCGGUGAAAUGCGCAGAUGUCAGGAAGAACACCCGUGGCUAAGGCGGCUCUCUAGUACGGUACUGACGCUGAGACGCGAAAGCGUGGGGAGCGAACAGG
This 253-nucleotide ribosomal RNA is filed under the name uncultured bacterium. RNAcentral's name for it is "partial 16S ribosomal RNA". It matches the Rfam family "Bacterial small subunit ribosomal RNA", at positions 524 to 776 of the family's 1533-position model. The record is from RNAcentral.